Molecule: ribosomal RNA, 250 nt
Filed under: uncultured prokaryote
Description: partial 16S ribosomal RNA
Rfam family: Bacterial small subunit ribosomal RNA
Source: RNAcentral
UACGGGGGAUGCAAGCGUUGUCCGGAAUCAUUGGGCGUAAAGAGUUCGUAGGUGGUUUGUUAAGUUUGGUGCUAAAUACAGAGGCUCAACUUCUGUUCGGCAUCAGAUACUGGCAGACUUGAAUGCGGUAGAGGUAAAGGGAAUUCCUGGUGUAGCGGUGAAAUGCGUAGAUAUUAGGAGGAACAUCGGUGGCGUAAGCGCUUUACUGGGCCGUAAUUGACACUGAGGAACGAAAGCCGGGGUAGCAAAU